GUACAGGGUAGCCUAGUGGAUGUGGCAUCUGCCCGGUAAGCGGAACAUUGUGGGUUCGAUUACCAUCCCUGAACA
This 75-nucleotide transfer RNA is filed under the name Cordylochernes scorpioides. RNAcentral's name for it is "tRNA-Thr". It matches the Rfam family "tRNA". Rfam says of the family: Transfer RNA (tRNA) molecules are approximately 80 nucleotides in length. Their secondary structure includes four short double-helical elements and three loops (D, anti-codon, and T loops). Further hydrogen bonds mediate the characteristic L-shaped molecular structure. tRNAs have two regions of fundamental functional importance: the anti-codon, which is responsible for specific mRNA codon recognition, and the 3' end, to which the tRNAs corresponding amino acid is attached (by aminoacyl-tRNA synthetases). tRNAs cope with the degeneracy of the genetic code in two manners: having more than one tRNA (with a specific anti-codon) for a particular amino acid; and 'wobble' base-pairing, i.e. permitting non-standard base-pairing at the 3rd anti-codon position. Lineage: Eukaryota; Metazoa; Arthropoda; Arachnida; Pseudoscorpiones; Chernetidae. The record is from RNAcentral.